UGGCAAGACAAGGCAGUCUAC
RNAcentral lists this microRNA (21 nucleotides) under Caenorhabditis remanei. Its description in RNAcentral is "crm-miR-74b". Its record names the gene crm-miR-74b. Lineage: Eukaryota; Metazoa; Nematoda; Chromadorea; Rhabditida; Rhabditidae. The record is from miRBase by way of RNAcentral.